UUUUUAUUUUACUCUAUUAUAGCCUCAAAACUGGCAUGGUUUUUGUUAGACCACGAGCUCCAAAAAGAUUUCUUUCUUAAACUCCGUGUCAAGUCAAGCACCGCCAAAAUAGCUGGGACACAUAGUAUAAAAGAUGAUGCCUUUAUAAUUUUUCCAAGUAGCUAGUGAAAGUAUCCUUAUAUAAGUCCUGUUAACUUUAUUGCUUUAUUCUAAUUUACAUUGUGAAUUACUUGAAUCUUUAUUUUCAUGGGUUGUGGAUUAUUAUUUUUCUAGAGAGUAGCUAUAUAUUGGUGAUGUGCUUGAAUGAUAUGUGCGGGGGUGAGAGGUUGACUGGGGAUAGUUUCAGGAGAGGUAGAGGUAGGCUGAAGAAGUAUUAGCGGAGGUGAUUAGAGAAGAUAUGACACAGUUAAAGCUUACCGAGGAUCCGACCUUAGGUAGGAGGUUGUGGAGGAACACAACUUAGGGUAGAAGGCUAGAUAGAAGUAGAGCAUUGUCUCGCUUGUCCUCACAUAUGGUAGUCGUCGUAUUUCUCCGGUAGUUUCUUGUCCUUCAAUUUCUGUUACCAGCUACUGUCUCUUGUACUAUAAUUACCACAGUAUUUUAUUGUAGUAGCUAUUCCUUUUUCAAAAUGCUUUGCCAUGAUUUCUUCACUUUUCAUUAAUUUUUUCGAUUUGCUUUCAUAUGCUUUUUCUUGAGCCGAGGGUCUAUUGGAAACUCUCUACCUCCCAAAGUAGGGGUAAGGUCUGCAUGCACUCUAUCUUCCCUAGACCCCACUUGUGGGAUUACACUGGUUAUAUUGUUGUUUUGUUCUUGUGCUUGAAUGACACAUAAAUUCAUUUUCAUAUAGCCAGAUUGCAAGGAAAAUUGGGGAUCCAAAUAUCCCUCGUCCAUGGAGCAGGCACACUUUGAAGAAACAAGAGAAAUUGACAAAUGAGGAUGAGAAUGCAAAAGUAAACAAAAGUUCCAAGUCUGCAGGUUUAAAAGGGGACAAAAAGAAUAGUAAACAGGAGAGUAAGGAUGAGGAUCCUCAGCUUCAAGAGUUCCUUGAAGUUAUGCAGCCUCGGAGUAAGUCAAAGUUGUGGGCAAAUGAUACACUAGCAGCUCCAUCUCUUGCUCAAAGUAAAAAGGAUGGCCAUAAGCAAUCCCAGGCAAAAGAGACUAACCGGGAAAAAUUGGCUACUGAUAACUCUGAGUUAGAUGAGGUUAUUAAAAAAGAGGAAUCUCUGUCAGUUAAUGAAAAUUCUGAGAAACCUGACAGCUUCCAUAAUGAUGAAGUUAUGACCGAUACAGAUUAUUUCAAAAGUAGAGUGAGGAAAGAUUGGUCAGACUCAAAAAGUAGUGAAGACGAUGGUAGUGAUAAUGAAAGUGACACUGAAAGUGGCAAGAGCAAUGAAGAUGCAAAUACUGGUAAUAUCCUCAAACCUGAUGAUACAGAGGAAGUUUUGACUGAUGGGUUCACCAGAUCUAACAAUAAAUCGCUUGAGCCUGCUGACCCUUCAUCAAGUGUUAUGGAUGAAAAAGAAGAAGAUCUGGAGAGUGGACGAUUAUUUGUUCGUAAUCUUCCUUACACCACGACGUAAUACAUCUUUGUUCUUCUUUUUUCCUUUAUCCUUUUUUUUUCUGGGUGAUUUAGUUAACUCGAUAUGUUGACUUCAACAAACCUAAUGUAUGUUCUUGCCAAACAAAUGGUUUUAUGACUCAGGGAAGAGGAGCUGGAAGAACAUUUUAGAGCAUUUGGCAAUGUCUCACAGGUUCAUAUUGUUGUUGACAAAGAUACAAAGCGGUCCAAAGGAUUUGCAUAUGUUCUCUAUGCAUUACCAGAAUCUGCUGCUAGGUACCUGUCAAUCAGCAUCCAAAUUCUAAGCUACUGCACUUUUUACCUGCAAGAAGCACACUGAUAUCCGUGUUAUAAAUUCUGAGUCCCUUGUAUACGUAUGUAUGUGUCUAUUUUUCAUGUUCCAGUGCUUCCUUGCAUUGCUUUUUGAUUGUUUCUUCCAGGGCAUUAGCGGAGCUGGACAGUUCAAUUUUUCAAGGACGAUUACUUCAUGUCAUGCCAGCUAAGCAGAAAAUUUCUCCAGAGAAGAUAGAGUAAGUGUUGUUUUACCACGCUUUUCAAUGUUCAUAUCCAUUAGAUUGUUUGCUUAUGCAUAUAUGUCGAGAGAAGCUCUCCUUUUUCUUUUUAAUAAUGUGGGAUCUACCUUGCUAUUAUAAGAUUGGUUCAUUUAUUACUCUGUAGGACAGUUGAUAAUACCAAGCAAUUUUCAAAAACAUUUAAGCAGCAGAGACUACAGGAAAAGAAGGCAUCUGAAGCUAGUGGAAAUACACAAUCUUGGAAUACUCUUUUCAUGCGGCCAGACACCGUAUGUACACUAUCGAAUGUUAUAAUUUAGAAUAUUUUUUCUUACUAUUAUGAGGGUUGGUUCUGUCAUUUUAGAAUUUUAAUCUAUGUUUUGCUAAGACACACAUUCUUAUCCACAUUCUGCGCCACAUAAAAUAAUACAGAAAUUUAUGCAUAAACUCUACAUGGAUUAUUUAUGAGGAAAACGAUAACUAACAUCUGAACAUUGUACAAUUUAAUAUGGAUUUUUAUGUGAAGCUUAAAUUUCCUCAAUCCCAACCAAACAUGGUACAAAUUAACUUUGGGAUUUUUUCUUCCGGGGGGUGGGGGUGGGGGUGGCUUUGUACAUCAACUUUUACAGCCCCUUGAUGCUUGCUGUAAUAGACUGGGUUUAUCUUUUUUUACAUUUGAUCUGAUUUGAGUUAUUUUUGUUCCUAUAUUAUGCUUCUUGUAAGAUGAUUUGGUUGUUCAAAUCUUUGUAGCUAUCCUAACUUGUAUAAUCAGUUUUUGAAAUGCUUCAGGAUCUUUAAUUACUGCCCGUUUGGGUUGAGUAUGCAUUCUACUGUGUCAGCGUUUGGACUUGUUCUUGAAAGUAAAAAUGAGCUCCUUCUGUUCUUUGAAAUUUUUUAGGUUGUCGAGAAUAUUGCAAGAAAAUUUGGUGUUAGUAAAAGUGUUCUUCUUGAUAGAGAAGCUGAUGAUCUUGCCGUACGUAUAGCAUUGGGUGAGACUCAAGUGAUAGCAGAGACGAAAAAGGCUCUUGCAAAAGCUGGGGUUAAUAUUGCUUCACUGGAAGACUACGCUGCUGGAAAAACUGAUGGAGUGAAACGAAGCAAUCACGUUAUUCUAGUUAAGAACUUGCCCUAUGGUUCGUCAGAAGGUGAACUUGCGAAUAUGUUUGGGAAGUUCGGGAGUCUGGAUAAGAUUAUUCUUCCUCCCACCCAAACCUUAGCUUUGGUUUGUGCUUUUAUCUUUGAAGCCUUUGGUUUGAAAUGACUAUUCUUGUAACUAUAAUUGUUCUUUAUGUGCUUUGUGACUUUUCCGUACAAUAGGGUGUUCUGAUUUGAUACUAAUAGACCAAGUUUCUGUUUGUGUAAAUAGACAUGAAUUAGUUGGAAAUAACAAGAUUGUUUGCUGCUUCUGUGAUUAUUACAAUCAGGUUGUCUUCCUAGAACCGGCAGAAGCACGCACAGCUUUUCGGGGCCUAGCAUACAAACGUUACAAGUAAGUGUAUAUAUCCGUUUCUUGCUUUUGAUACAGCGGUGAUUUUUGUAGUUGAACAAGUAGCUGUAUAUGUAAAGACAAUUUCAUGUCAUGACUGAUAACUAAGCAAGAUUGGAAUAGCUUUAGAAUUGGGAUAACACAUAAAUACUCUCCUCAACUUAUUGUGAAUAUUCAUCUAUACUUUUUAACUUUGCUAGUGCCCUAUUACACCCAACCCCCAAGGGGCCUUUUUGAAGUUGAGUAACUACCAGAUUUGUGUUGGGUGUUGAAAUAACACCACUUACUCCAUAUACUUUGAAGUUGAGUAACUUUGCUAGUGCACUCACCACUUAAUUUUUGUUCACCUUUUUUUUCCAUAUACUUUGGUUAUUUCUUCCUCCACCUUUGUUCAAAUGCAUUAAGCGGACUCUCCCCCAAUCUAAACUUUGCGCCUUCCUCUCACUCCUACUCCAAUAAUUCCUUGUCAAUGAUUAGUGAUGUCGCCCUGUAUUCUCGAAACAAGGUGCAUUUUAUGUUACCUCGGAUCCUGUUAGUGAGAGAAGACUCAAAAUUAGAGGGAAGCCAUGGAAAGAGAAGGGAAUUCCAUUUUUUUUUACUUUGCUUUAGAGAAUUGAGAAACCUUCCAAUUUUUUAUUUUGCAAGAUUGAGGUUUCUCCUAGCUUGCUUUGUUCUUUCUAGCACAUAUCAGUUUUGCUGCAUCUCAUAUGCAAUAUAUUUUGAUUCAGUCUUGAAAGUUUGGAAUUAUGAAGUAAAUUUUGUCCCUUUGUCCUGAUGCAGAGACACUCCCCUUUAUUUGGAGUGGGCUCCUGGGAAUAUUCUUGAUCAAACGAGUGAUUCCAAAAAUGAUUUUAUUGUUGGUGAAGAUGAUGUAAAGAGAGUGCUCCUGGAGCAACAAGUGGAAGGAAUAGCAGAUCCAGAUGUUGAUCCUGAUAGAGUGGAGGUAUAUAAACUGUAAAACCCAUGUUUCCCAUCUUUAUAUAGAAUGUACUUUGGUGCUAAGUCCCUACUGUUGUAUGAGUCUACUUGCGAGCUGUUUAUAUCUACCUGUAUUGUAUAGACUAAUACCUAGCUAAGUUUGUCCUCGUCAAUCUUUGCUUGUGGAUUAUUUUUCUGUUCAUCUCCAUUUGCCAGCAACCGCAAAUGAAGCUUUGUUGAGGUUGGCACUUCCAUUUGAUCAAUAGUCUAUUAUUAUAUGCACUUCUGUCGCCCUGACAUGUGUCCCACCAUAUGACACAAAGUUUCACUUUAUGAAUGCCAUUUUAGGAGUCUGUCAUGUUGGUACAUUUACUUUAGGUUCAAUGUUUGUUAGGUACAUUUACUUUAGGUUCAAUGUUUGUUAGGAGUCUUUUAGUUUCGAUACAGAUGCUAGUAGAAAAUGUAAAGAAUCUCUAGUGCUAGAGAAACCAGAUCAAAAUCGUAGAGAGACGAGCUUGAGUGGAGUGGCAUCUAGCAUGUGUUGAGGACUCAUACAACUGACCCAACUAGCAUGAGGUUGAGGCGUACUUUUUGUUUUUGUCGAACACAAAAAUGUGGAAGAUAUUACAAAUUUAAGUGGUUUUGUUUUUGUUGAACACAAAAUGUGGAAGAUAUUACACAAAAUGAGGAGUGGCAUCUAGCAUGUGUUGAGGACUCAUACAACUGACCCAACUAGCAUGAGAUUGAGGCGUACUUUUUGUUUUUGUCGAACACAAAAAUGUGGAAGAUAUUACAAAUUUAAGUGGUUUUGCUUUUAUUGAACACAGAAUGUGGAAGAUAUUACAAAUUCUUAAACGAACUCUUACAUUUGAUUGAUACUGGUAACGUACUGGUAUAUAUAAAGUCACAUUUUCAGAGAAAUGAAGAAACCCGGCUAUGCAAAAAUCAAAUUUACAGACAGCCUAUCAAAUCGAUUAGAGAAUCUGUUUCCUCUAGUAGUAUGUAAGACUUUUUUGAGAAUUUCUACUAGUAUGUAAGACUCAAACUUAAGUCUACAUAUUUAUUCAAGUUUUUAGUUUGCUGGAAAUUAACUGUGGCCUGCAUAUGAUAGGUCCCCAGAAAAUCAGAAAUAAAUAAUUCUCAAAUAUGAACUGUACUCUUGUUGUUGUUGUUGUUGUUGUUGAACUGUACUCUUGGUAGCAGCAGACUAUUGAAUACACAUGGUCACAUGACAUGCUGGUUCAGCUGCUCCACUAUUGCCAAAAAAUCAUGCUACCUGUACCAAAAACCAAAAGAAUUCAGUUAUUGGAAAUAAGUAUAUAGUGAAGAACAUUGCAGUUAUAGAAAUUCCUUGUUACUUCUUUGUUUGUUCUUAUAACUGCCUUGAUUUCUCAGGUUUGUUUCUUGUUUCAUUAACCAAUUGAUAUUCUUGUUGUCACCUUUCCAGUCACGAUCACUGUAUGUCAAGAACCUAAAUUUCAAGACAUCAGAUGAGAGUUUAAAGAAACAUUUCACUGAUCACAUAAAGGAUGGGCGAAUAUUAAGUGUGAGGGUAAGUUCUUGUGGCUCUUUUUUAUGCUGAGACGCCAAGUAUUUAGCAUAGUAUUUCCUUUGUGCUACAUGAAAAAAUAACUAGUCUUCCUCCAACACCUGUUAAUAUUAUUCUGUGAAGGUGAAAAAGCAUGUAAAGAAUGGAAAAACUGUCUCGAUGGGUUUUGGAUUCAUUGAGUUUGAUUCUGCUGAUACAGCAAUCAAUGUUUGUAAGGAUUUGCAGGUAAUCAGUCUGAUUUUUGUUUUAACAUUUUGUCCAUACAUUCGGGCUCCUACAAAUAGCGUUUCAUCUUCCCCUCUUCUUGUCAUUCAGGGAACUGUUUUGGAUGGGCAUGCACUUAUAAUGCAACUUUGCCACACUAAGAAGGAUGAUCAACUACCAAAGAAAGCUGAGAAUGAUAAGAGUUCGACUAAGUUGCUUGUUAGGAAUGUUGCUUUUGAGGCAACUGAAAAGGAUCUCAGGCAACUAUUCAGUCCAUUUGGGCAGGUACUUCCUCUGAAGUGUUGUUAAUGUAGGGUGAUACUAAGUAGUAGAAAAUAAUACUAGGUUUUCCUGUGUUGGGAAGUGGCAAAGCUAGAAGUUAAUUGAGGAUAAGUAUGUCUGUGGGCACGAGGAUGCAUUAUAUCCUGUGCAUUUCCAUUGAGUCCAUAUGAGAGACAUUUAUCCAUAUGUAAGUGGGCAUGUAGAAUUCUCUCCGAUUUGUAAUGCUUUUGUUCAAAAUUCCAGGUCUAGUGGAAUGUGUCAUGAAAUUUAUUAGUGUGAAAAAUGUUGAUAUAGACAAAAUGAUGCGUGGUAAUUGGCAGAUGAUCUAGCCACUAGAAGCUAGGGCUAGAAAAAAAAAAAAACAUUAUGAUGGUUACUUGAAAGUCUGACAUAUAUGUUAUUUUUGACCUGCAUUCAUCAUGUUUCACAUAGCGACUUAUUUCAAUGUCCUUUCCGUUGACCUCAAAAUUAAAUUCAUCCUACAGAUUAAGAGUUUAAGGCUGCCAAUGAGGUUUGGGAACCAUAGAGGAUUUGCAUUUGUAGAGUUCGUCACUAAACAAGAGGCAAAGAAUGCCAUGGAAGCUCUAUCCAAUUCUCACUUGUAUGGGCGCCAUUUGGUAUGUGAUCUUGCAAUUCUCAUAGUAUAUAUCUACUACCUAAAUAUCACCAAGUAAUAUGUUGUGGUGCAUGUUACAUCUCAGGUUCUUGAGAGAGCCAAGGAAGGUGAGAGCUUAGAGGAAUUACGCGCUCGCACAGCUGCUCAGUUUAGUACUGAGCAAAAUGGGUUUCAAACUACUAAAUUAUCAAAGAAGAGAAAACAAAUGGCUAUAUUGGAUGAAGGGAGUUUUAAAUUCGAGCGAAUUGCUGAUUAAAUACUUCACAACUCCCUUCAAAUCCCCAAUUCACUUGUCCUGUAUAGGUUAAAGCUACUAAUUCUGCAGUAUUUAUAGCCCAAUAGUACUAAGAUGAGAGCUUGUUUAAUCAAUUUUGUUCAUUAAUGUAAUGUCUUGACAUCCUCUUCGGUUUGUAUUGUAGAUCAUGAAAAGUUUGCUGUCAGUUUGUGACAAAAAAAUAUCAAAGUAGUAGGUAAACAAAGUUUGAUCCUUUGGGAUGUUUCUUAUGGAUUACUUUAAUAAUGAAGAUAGCAUUCUUGUCACAGGGGGGUAAUGUAGAAAUGCUAUUUCUUAUCCACCAUAACCAAAAGAAAAAACUUAAAUCAUCUCGAGUUUAGAAGGUGAAUUUCUUGGUUAGAAAAAGAAGGGCAACAAAGGGUCGAUUUAAAAGGAAAAAAAAAAAACAGAGUGGCCAGUGUGAAAACAUGGACAAUUUUUUAAUUUGAGUCAAAAAAAUUUCCUGCAUUAUUAGAAUGACAAAGAAAAUAAGAAAAAAAAGUGGAAGGAAAUGAAGGAGGACGGCAAACAGGCGUUGACGUCCUAGUUUUAAAUACUUACAUAAAUUUUAAGUGAUAUAUCUCAAAGAAUGUGAUGUAUUCUUGUUGAAUUUUUUAGAAUUUUAAAAGACGUUGGAAUAGGAAGUAAUUAACAUCAAAAGAAUUGAGAUUUGCGUAACUUUUACAUUAUUUAUUCUGCUCUAGAAAAGUGCAAGGAAAUGAAGGAAAAUUUAGCGUCUUUAGAAAAUUCUCCAUCUUUAGCAAAAUAAGAACAAAAAUUUGCGUACAUUUUAUCUUUUCUAAAUUUCAUCUAUACGUGUUGACAGUUUGAUAACAUUUUCUUUUCUUGUUAAAAUAGUUCCUUCUUUUGGUCGUGACAUGCGCAAUUGGAAAAGAAAAAAGAAUCAAGUAAAUUGGUAAUAACGACAUUGCAGAAAUUUACCUCAAAAAAAAAAAAAAUUAUUGUCCCCUUUAAACUAUAUAUCAUCGAUCACUAUCAUUAUUCAUCAUUAUAUAAUCACCAAUCAGCACUAUAUAUUAUAAACUAUCGUCAUCAUUCACCAUCACUAUAAGCUAUUACUAUCAUCCACCACAACUAUCAGUCAUUGUGACAAGGAGUAACCAUCAAUCACUACUCUCACAACUAUCAUCACCAAUAGCUACACCCUUAACACCACUAUUUGCCAAUAUAUCUUCAAUCGACACCCACAAUCACUAUCGCUAGCCAUCACUAUCAUCAACAGUCAUAUAAUGUUUAUAGUAAAUUAAUUUAAUUUUUUUUAUUAAAUUUUACUUUAUAAUAGAAGCGGCAAUCUUGACCAUUUUAGAGUCGUCCUGGCUGCUUCAGCUGCUUCAAGCGUAAUUUUACUAUAUCACCCCUAAUUAAUUAUUAUAAAUUAUUUCAUUUAAGUAUUAUAAUAUUAAUAAUAUUUAAUAAAAGAAUAGUUUUCAAAAUGACUACUAAAUUCCUCAAAGUUCCAUUUAUUAUUAUUCGAGAAUUUUUUUUAGCUGUUUCAAUCGUAAUUUUAAUGUAUCACCUCUAAUUAAUUAUUAUAAGCCAUUUACGUAUUAAAAAUUAAUAAUAUUUAAUAUAAAAAUAAAACAAACAUUUUUUACAUGUCUGCUUCAGUUGGUUCGACAUAAUUUUACUAUAUCACCUCUAAUUACUCAUUAUGAGUCAUCUAAGUAUUAAAAAAUAAUGUUAAAAAAUUAUUAUAAAAUCAUCUAAGUUUUAAAAAACUAAUAAUAUAAAAAAAUAUUAAUCUGCCAAAUAUUUUUCAAAAAUAGGUAAGAAAUACUAUACAUCACAAUAAUUAGCAACUAGAAAGUUUAGAGUCAAUUUACUUUCUUUGGCACAUCUUCAUUGGUCCUUUCCUUUGCCUUCAUUUUUUCAUCUAUUUUAAUUUGUUAUAUAUUUUUUAAAAAAAAACUUGUAAAUCACAAUAAUUAAUAAAUUAAAAAUUAAAAACAUAUAAAUAUUUGACUGACUUUCAAAAUUAUAUCAUUGCUACUUAAAUUGGAAUAGAAGAAAAAAUACUAUAGAUCACAGUAAUUAAAAACUUAAAUUAUUUAUAAAAUAUAAUUGACUAUCAAUAGUACAAAAUUUUAAACAAGGAGUGUAACAUAUAUUAUUUAAAAUUUACAUAAAACUUAUUAUAAAUUACAAUAUUUAACAAAUUAAAAUAUCUAAAAAAAAUUAUUAUAUAUUUUAAAAAAUACAUAAAAGUGCUAUAGAUCAUAAUAAUUAACAAAUUUAAGACAUAUAAAAUAUUUGAUUGACUUUUGUUCAAUUAUAAAAAAAUAAGCACUUUGAUGAAGAUUUAUAGUAUCAUUCAAGUAAAUACAGAUUAAGAUCGUAGAAACAUGAGCUAGUGAUAUAGCUACACCUAAUUCCAGACCGGUUAAUGCAAGAACUAUAAAUAAAGGACCAAGAUCCCCUAUGAAAUAUAAUUGAAUAUCAACGCCACAAAAGUUAGGACAAGGAGAGUAACAUGUAUUUUUUGAAAAUCAUAUAAAAAACAUUACAAAUUACAAUUGUUGACAAUUUAAAGUAUUUUUUUAAUUUUUUUUUAUAUAUUUUUAAAAAAUACUCAAAAAGAUACUACAAAUCAUAAUAAUUAAUAAUUUUAAAAAUUGUAAGGAUAUAAAUAUUUGGUUGACUAUAGAAAUUAUAUCAGUGCUACUUAAUUUGAAAUUAAAAAAGAUUAUAAAUCUCAAUAAUUUUAAAAGUUAAAUUAUUUUUAAAGUAUAAUUGGCUAUCGAUGCUACAAAAGUUUGAAUAAGGAGAGUAACAUGUAUUAUUUAAAAAUUACAUAAAAAAAUAUUAUAAAUUACGAUAAUUAACAAUUUAGAAUAUUCAAAGCAUACUAAAGAUAUGAUUGAUUAUCUAUAUUUUAUUUAUGUCACAUAAAUUGAGACUAAAAAAUAAUAUAUAUUGGGCCCGUGCCAACCUAUUUAAAUAAAUUUAUAUAUUCAAAUAUUGAAAAAUAAAUAACUUUAAUUAUUUAAUAUUCAUAUCUUAAUUACUUAGUAUUCUGGUAAAAUAUGUGUUACCACCAAACAAAUCUCAUCAUUUUGUGACUUAAUCUAUAAUAUAUUAAAAGUGUGAAGCCCGUUAAAAAGUGAUUUGAAUUUUUUAUCCUUCAUUAAAACACUAUACAAUAGACAAAAUCAUCUUUUCACUAUUUUCCUUAAUUUAUUAUUUAAUUAAAUUUUUAUUUUUUAAAGUCAAGAAAUCCUAAAUUAUACGGUAAAAGAAAAAUAUAUAGAGAAUUAAUAUUGGUAAAUUUUUUAUUUCCUUCUAUAUGUAAAAAAAGAGUCUUGAAAUAUUUGGUAGAAAAAAGAUCCUAAAAUAUAUAAUAAAGAGAAUAAGAAAAGAUUUAAUAGUAGAAAACUUUAAGUAAAAAAGAAAAAUAAAAUCUCACCUAAAGUUUUAGAAAAACCAUUAUACGUUUUCUUUUAAUGUUAUGAUUUUAAUUCCUUUAAGUAAAAAGGAAAAAUAAAAUGUCAACUAAAGUUUUAAAAAAACUAUUGUACGUUUUCUUUUAACGUUAUUAUUUUAAUUUCAAACUAUAUAUAUAUAUAUAUAUAUUUCUUUUCUAUAUAAUAGAAACACUAAUUUUGACCAAUGCUUCAUCAAUUGCUAUACUACCCCAAAUUAUUUCAGAAUUUACUAUAUUACUCCUAAUUAAUUAUUAUAAUUCAUUUAAAUAUUAGAAUUAAUAAUAUUUUUUUAUUAUAUUAUCCCUAAUUAAUUAUUGUAAGUCAUUUAUAUAUUAUAAUUAAUGAUAUUUAAUUAAAAAAUAGACAUUUAUGACUUUUGUUUCAGCUGCUUUAACUGUGAUUUUACUUUAUCAUCCCCAAUUAAUUAUUAUAAGUCAUUUAUGUAUUAAAAAAUUAAUAAUAUUUAAUUAAAAAAUUAGAUGACAUGUCUACCUAUAUUACCUCUAAUUGCCCCGUAAUUUAUUAUAUUACCCCUAAUUAAUUAUUAUAAGAAAUUUAUAUAUUAGAAUUAAUUAAUUAUUAUAAGUCAUUGAUAUAUUAAAAUUAAUAAUAUUUAAUUAAAAAAAUAUUUAUAACGUUUGUUUCAGCUCCUUUAAUCGUGAUUUUACUAUAUCAUUCUUAAUUAAUUAUUAUAUGUCAUUUAUGUAUUUAAAAAUUAAUAAUAUUUAAUUAAAAAAUAGAAGUUUAUGAUGUUUGUUUCAACAUCUUUAACCGUAAUUUUACUGUAUCAUCCCUAAUUAAUUAUUAUAAGUCAUUGAUAUAUUAAAAUUAAUAAUAUUUAAUUAAAAAAUAGAAGUUUAUGAUGUUUGUUUCAACAUCUUUAACCGUAAUUUUACUGUAUCAUCCCUAAUUAAUUAUUAUAAGUCAUUGAUAUAUUAAAAUUAAUAAUAUUUAAUUAAAAAAUAGAAGUUUAUGAUGUUUGUUUCAACAUCUUUAACCGUAAUUUUACUGUAUCAUCCCUAAUUAAUUAUUAUAAGUCAUUGAUAUAUUAAAAUUAAUAAUAUUUAAUUAAAAAAUAGAAGUUUAUGAUGUUUGUUUCAACAUCUUUAACCGUAAUUUUACUGUAUCAUCCCUAAUUAAUUAUUAUAAGUCAUUGAUAUAUUAAAAUUAAUAAUAUUUAAUUAAAAAAUAGAAGUUUAUGAUGUUUGUUUCAACAUCUUUAACCGUAAUUUUACUGUAUCAUCCCUAAUUAAUUAUUAUAAGUCAUUGAUAUAUUAAAAUUAAUAAUAUUUAAUUAAAAAAUAGAAGUUUAUGAUGUUUGUUUCAACAUCUUUAACCGUAAUUUUACUGUAUCAUCCCUAAUUAAUUAUUAUAAGUCAUUGAUAUAUUAAAAUUAAUAAUAUUUAAUUAAAAAAUAGAAGUUUAUGAUGUUUGUUUCAACAUCUUUAACCGUAAUUUUACUGUAUCAUCCCUAAUUAAUUAUUAUAAGUCAUUGAUAUAUUAAAAUUAAUAAUAUUUAAUUAAAAAAUAGAAGUUUAUGAUGUUUGUUUCAACAUCUUUAACCGUAAUUUUACUGUAUCAUCCCUAAUUAAUUAUUAUAAGUCAUUGAUAUAUUAAAAUUAAUAAUAUUUAAUUAAAAAAUAGAAGUUUAUGAUGUUUGUUUCAACAUCUUUAACCGUAAUUUUACUGUAUCAUCCCUAAUUAAUUAUUAUAAGUCAUUGAUAUAUUAAAAUUAAUAAUAUUUAAUUAAAAAAUAGAAGUUUAUGAUGUUUGUUUCAACAUCUUUAACCGUAAUUUUACUGUAUCAUCCCUAAUUAAUUAUUAUAAGUCAUUUAUAUAUUAGAAUUAAUAAUAUUUAAUUAAAAAAUAGAAGUUUAUGAUGUUUGUUUCAACAUCUUUAACCGUAAUUUUACUGUAUCAUCCCUAAUUAAUUAUUAUAAGUUAUUUAUAUAUUAAAAAUUAAUAAUAUUUAAUUAAAAAAAUCAGCUGCUUUGUCAUUUACUAUAUUAACCUAAUUGCUCGGUGAUUUAUUAUAUUACCCCUAAUUAAUUACUAUAAGUCAUUUAUUUAUUAGAAAUUAAUAAUGUUUUUUUUAUUAUAUUACCCCUAAUUAAUUAUUAUAAGUCAUUUAUAUAUUAUAUUUAAUAAUAUUUAAUUAAAAAAUAUAUAUUUAUGACAUUUAUUUCAGCUGCUUUAACCAUGAUUUCACUAUAUCAUCCCUAAUUAAUUAUUCUAAGUUAUUUAUGUAUUAAAAAAUUAAUAAUAUUUAAUUAAAAAAUAGAUGAAAUGUCUGCCUAUAUUAUCCCUAAUUGCUCCGUGAUUUACUAUAUUACCCUAAAUUAAUUAUUAUAAGUCAUUUAAAGUUAUUUAUGUAUUAAAAAAUUAAUAAUAUUUAAUUAAAAAAAUAUAUGACAUGUCUGCCUAUAUUAUCCCUAAUUGCUACGUGAUUUACUAUAUUACCCUAAAAUAAUUAUUAUAAGUCAUUUAUAUAUUAGAAUUAAUAAUAUUUAAUUAAAAAUUGAUAUUUAUGACGUUUGUUUCAGCUGCUUUAACCGUGAUUUUACUAUAUCAUCCCUAACUAAUCAUUAUAAGUCAUUUAUGUAUUAAAAAAUUAAUAAUAUUUAAUUAAAAAAAUAGAUGACAUGUCUGCUGCAGCUGCUUCAACCAUAAUUUUGCUAAAUAUCGCUUAUAAUUAAUUAUUAUGAGUCAUCUAAGUGUAAAAAAUUUAAUCAUAUUUUUUUAAAAAAAAUAGACACAAAAUGAUAAAUUAACUCUUGAUGUAUUAAAUUAAGUUGACCUCCUUCAACCGUGAUUUUACUGUAUCACCCAUAAUUAAUUAUUAUUAGUCAUUUAUGUAUUAAAAUAUUCAUAUUAUUUAAUUAAAACAUUGGUUUCGACAUGGCUGCUUCAAGAGCUGCGCCGUAAUUUUACUAUAUCACCCCUAAUUAAUUAUUAUAAGUCAUUUAUGUAUUAGAAAAUUAAUAGUAUUUAAUUAAAACAAGAAAAAUAUGUGUUUAUGACAUGUUUGUUGCAGCUGUUUCAACCAUAAUUAUCUUUGAGAAGAUGAUCCAAGACUUUGUGUUAAUUGAAGUAUCUUUUGUUCCAGUUUUUAUAUGAAAUAAUCUUAUGAAUAUUAGUUCUACAUCUUUUCUAUAUUUUGUAGCAGGUCUCAAUUUUAUCAUCAAACAAUUAAAAUAACCCGACUACACGACACAUUACACCUUUUUAUCAUGUGGAAAAAAACUAUCUUAUAAAACUUCACUCCUUAGCGAGUACCAUCAAAUAGUUAUUAUUUAAAAAAUUAUCGUUUUAAAUCAAUGUACAUUUAUGUUUGUAUCUCAUCAAUAUUGAAUAUUGGUGCUAAAAGAUGUCUAUAGUGUUGGAUCCGUGCUGACACGGGCCAUGCACCUCUUGUAUAUAUAUAUAUAUAUUAUAUUAUAAUCUAUUUAAAGUGUGAAGGGCGUUAGAAAUGUCGCUUGAACUUUUUACCCUUCAUUAAAAGUCUUUUCUUUAGAUAAAAAUCAUAUUUUGACUAUUUUUUUUAAUUAUUUAAUAGUUAAAAAUCAAUUAAAUAUAUUUAUGAUAAACCUUUAAAACUUUUUAAGAAGAUUUAAAAAGUCUAUAAAUUUACAUCUACAAUAUAUUAAAUCCAUUAACCAUUUGAAAUUUGUGAUGAUAAAAUAUACAUGUGCUUAUAAUAAAAUAUAUAUUUUAAACUUUUUACAAUUCAUUAAAAAAAUUAUCUAAUUUUAAAUAAUCAAAAGUUAAUUGCACGUGCAGCUAAACUAGUAAUUAUACAAAUUUCCAUUGACAAAGUGAGGAGUAUAUUCUUUCAAAUCCUCUAACCAAUUUACAGCGGAGUUGGUAGUCCAAAAUAUUUCAAGAAAACUUGUUUCUCUUGUCUUGUUUCCUUUUAAACCCUUUUGUCCACUCUUUACAUUUCUACUACUCAAUUCAUUUGUUCACCAUAUAUUACCUGCCUUGUCUCCAUCUUUUCUCAACUGGGUAUGCCUUCAAAUUUCACCUAAUUCUGUGCUUUCUUUAGGGUUUCUCAUUGUUUUCAUUAAAUUCAAUCAUUCUUUUCUUUGUGGAUUUACUUUUUUAAGUGUGUUCUUUAUAUGAGAUCCCAAUUCACUUUGUGGGGUUUUUAGUAUUUGAUAAUUUUACUUUACUGUAAGUGAUAUUAUUAUACUUUGUUGCUUUGUUAGAAUUACUAGCAUCAUCUGUUUUCUUUGUGGGUUUUCUUUAAUUCUGCUUAUUGUGUACUCAUUUGGAUCUUCCUUGUUACUGUUUUUUUUGGUGGAACUUAGUGUUUGGAAUUUAGAUUUGUUGUGCCCUUAAAUAAGUGGUGUUUUUAGUUUGAACACACCCUUAACCAAACUACUCAUUCCUAGAAAACAAAGAUUGUUUUUACUAACUUAUCCUUGAUAAAUACUUUGGAAAAGAUAGUACUCUUUAGUAGUUUCUUGCUUAUUUAAAACUCUUUUUAUUUAAAAGAAGUUAAAAAUGAAGGAACAACAUGAAUGUCUUCUUGAUUAUCUAAAGUACUACUUAUUUGGGAAUAAAAUCAAAAGGCUGAAAACCACUUAAUUUAGGAAUGGAGGGAGUAGGCGGACAUUGAUUAUAAAAGUUGGCGUGAAUUUCCAGGUUCAGUUUGUGAUUCUGUUAGUUUUUAGUGCUUUCUUGAUUUACUUUUGCGUUUGUUCUGAAUCUUGAUAGAGGCAAUGUCGCAAGGCUAUGCUAUUGAGCUCUACUUUGAUCCUGCACUGGAAAACCAGGUCCUGAAGGCCUGGAAUGUAUUGGCUCGGCGCCAGAUUAGCACUCAGCUUAUUGAGAUUGAGUCUAGACCUCACAUUACCCUCUUCUCGAGUCCCAAUUUUGAUCCAUCAAAGCUUGAGAACAUUGUAAAGAAUUUUUCGUCCAAGCAAGAAUCUUUGCCUCUGUCCUUUGGUUCAAUUGGAAGCCUCCCAAGUGAUGACAAUGUUCUAUUUCUUGCCCCAACACCAACUUUGUCUCUACUUCAGUUCCACUCACAGCUGUUUGAUGCUAUGAAAAAGGAGGGCAUUGAGAUUGCAGAUGAGCAUCGUCCUGAUACGUGGAUUCCUUAUUGCCCGGUAGCUGAAGAGGUGCCUAAAACUCGUAUGGGGGAGGCAUUCACUGUUUUGAGGGAUCUGAAAUUACCUGUUGCUGGAUAUGCAAUGGAAAUUGCACUUGUCGAGUAUCCUCCAGUUCGUGAAGCAUUUUCUUUUGUGCUUGGUAAUACAGUUGAACCUUGAGGUUUCAGACAUGUAAUUGUGUUGAUUUUAGUUUAGGCUUUUACCUUUCAUAUCCUAUAUAGUUGCUCUUGUAGAACCUGAUAUAGAUGGUUAAGAGUGUUAUUAUCGUUGCUAAAUGGUCAUCUGCUUUGAUGAAAUAUUAAGUCAUUUCUGAUUCUUUCCUAUUGUUCGUACUUGCAUUGAGAUGUUGAUCUCUUAUGUCAGUGUUGGUGAUAAUAACAUGCUUAUUUUUUUUUCUUAUCUAUGGGAAGUCUCUGGUCGACCUCUAUUAGCAUAGAAAUUUUAUUUGCUUCUGUGUUCUAUCUUAUAAAUCAUGAACAUUGUUUGGCUUACGUGUUCUACUUUGUAAGUCUUGAAUGUGGUUCCUUUCAUUCAAAUGUAAUAUGUUUUAGUUCUUGUUAAGUUUAGCAAGUUCGAAUCAUGUGAGGUAAAUUUGCUUUUGUUAAAUAAUGUUGAGUAUAAAACUUGCUUGCGUUUAAAAAUGUUCACUUAUACAUUACUGCAGUACACCUUCUAAUUUGCAAGUCUCAAAGAUCAUGUGCUUUCUUUAGAUUGUAAUAUAUCCUGGUGCUUGUUGAAUUUAAUAUGAUUGAAUCAUGUGAGGGGAGUACAGAAGCUACCAGUUUUGUAUGGUUGGUAAAUCAAAUAGUAUUUGGAGAAAACAUGAGGCAGAGUUGAUUGAUGUACUAGCUGAAUAAACUGGAUAAAAGACAAGAACAGUCCAUUAUGUUUGACGUUGGUUUUGACUAACCCUUUUUUUUUUUUUUUUUUUUUUUUUUUUUUUUUUUUUUUUUUUUUUUUUUUUUUUUUUUUUUUUUUUUUUUUUUUUUUUUUUUUUUUUUUUUUUUUUUUUUUUUUUUUUUUUUUUUUUUUUUUUUUUUUUUUUUUUUUUUUUUUUUUUUUUUUUUUUUUUUUUUUUUUUUUUUUUUUUUUUUUUUUUUUUUUUUUUAAAAUCAUGG
This 17077-nucleotide long non-coding RNA is filed under the name Capsicum annuum. Its description in RNAcentral is "long non-coding RNA (CANN_LNC003584)". Lineage: Eukaryota; Viridiplantae; Streptophyta; Magnoliopsida; Solanales; Solanaceae. The record is from RNAcentral.